GAUGAACGCUGGCGGCGUGCUUAACACAUGCAAGUCGAACGGUGAAGCAGGAGCUUGCUCUUGUGGAUCAGUGGCGAACGGGUGAGUAACACGUGAGCAACCUGCCCCUGACUCUGGGAUAAGCGCUGGAAACGGCGUCUAAUACUGGAUAUGUGAUGUGACCGCAUGGUCUGCAUCUGGAAAGAAUUUCGGUUGGGGAUGGGCUCGCGGCCUAUCAGCUUGUUGGUGAGGUAAUGGGUCACCAAGGCGUCGACGGGUAGCCGGCCUGAGAGGGUGACCGGCCACACUGGGACUGAGACACGGCCCAGACUCCUACGGGAGGCAGCAGUGGGGAAUAUUGCACAAUGGGCGGAAGCCUGAUACAGCAACGCCGCGUGAGGGAUGACGGCCUUCGGGUUGUAAACCUCUUUUAGCUGGGAAGAAGCGAAAGUGACGGUACCUGCAGAAAAAGCACCGGCUAACCACGUGCCAGCCGCCGCAGUAA
RNAcentral lists this ribosomal RNA (484 nucleotides) under uncultured bacterium. Its description in RNAcentral is "partial 16S ribosomal RNA". It matches the Rfam family "Bacterial small subunit ribosomal RNA", at positions 28 to 523 of the family's 1533-position model. The record is from RNAcentral.